UACGGAAGGGGCAAGCGUUGUUCGGAAUCAUUGGGCGUAAAGGGCGCGUAGGCGGUCGCGUGUGUCUGCUGUGAAAGCACACGGCUCAACCGUGUGAAGUCGGUAGAAACUGCGGGACUUGAGGCUGGGAGAGGUUGGUGGAAUUCCCUAUGUAGCGGUGAAAUGCGUAGAUAUAGGGGAGAACACUCGUGGCGAAGGCGGCCAGCUGGACCAGCCCUGACGCUGAGGCGCGACAGCCAGGGGAGCAAACGGG
This 253-nucleotide ribosomal RNA is filed under the name uncultured bacterium. RNAcentral's name for it is "partial 16S ribosomal RNA". It matches the Rfam family "Bacterial small subunit ribosomal RNA", at positions 524 to 776 of the family's 1533-position model. The record is from RNAcentral.